GACGUAGGGCGCGAGCGUUGUCCGGAUUUAUUGGGCGUAAAGAGCUCGUAGGCGGUCUGUCGCGUCGGCUGUGAAAUCCCGAGGCUCAACCUCGGGUCUGCAGUCGAUAAGGGCAAACUAGAGUAUUGCAGGGGAGACUGGAAUUCCUGGUGUAGCGGUGAAAUGCGCAGAUAUCAGGAGGAACACCGGUGGCGAAGGCGGGUCUCUGGGCAAUAACUGACGCUGAGGAGCGAAAGCGUGGGGAGCGAACAGG
This 253-nucleotide ribosomal RNA is filed under the name uncultured bacterium. RNAcentral describes it as "partial 16S ribosomal RNA". It matches the Rfam family "Bacterial small subunit ribosomal RNA", at positions 524 to 776 of the family's 1533-position model. The record is from RNAcentral.